UGGUUCGUAACUCAAUUGGAUCAGAGUACCGGUCUUUUACACCGGGAGUUGUGAGUUCGAGUCUCACCAGGCCAA
This 75-nucleotide transfer RNA is filed under the name Terrimonas sp. Its description in RNAcentral is "tRNA-Lys". It matches the Rfam family "tRNA". From Rfam's summary of the family: Transfer RNA (tRNA) molecules are approximately 80 nucleotides in length. Their secondary structure includes four short double-helical elements and three loops (D, anti-codon, and T loops). The record is from RNAcentral. Lineage: Bacteria; Pseudomonadati; Bacteroidota; Chitinophagia; Chitinophagales; Chitinophagaceae.